GACGAACGCUGGCGGCGUGCUUAACACAUGCAAGUCGAACGAAGAGCGAUGGAAGCUUGCUUCUAUCAAUCUUAGUGGCGAACGGGUGAGUAACGCGUAAUCAACCUGCCCUUCAGAGGGGGACAACAGUUGGAAACGACUGCUAAUACCGCAUACGAUCCAAUCUCGGCAUCGGGACUGGAUGAAAGGUGGCCUCUAUUUAUAAGCUAUCACUGAAGGAGGGGAUUGCGUCUGAUUAGCUAGUUGGGGGGGUAACGGCCCACCAAGGCAAUGAUCAGUAGCCGACUGGAGAGAGGGAUCGCCCACAUGGGACCGGAACCAGGGCCAAGACUCCUACGGGAGGCAGCAGUAGGGAACUUCCGGCAAGGGGCGAAAGCUUGACGGAGCAAGGCGGCGUGGGUGUGGCGGGCCUUGGGAUCGUAAAACCCGUUUAUCAGGGAAAAACAAAUGUGUGCGAAAAGAGGGAGGUUUUGACGGUACCGGAAUAGAAAGCCACGGCUAACUACGUG
Molecule: ribosomal RNA, 509 nt
Filed under: uncultured bacterium
Lineage: Bacteria
Description: partial 16S ribosomal RNA
Rfam family: Bacterial small subunit ribosomal RNA
Source: RNAcentral